This 253-nucleotide ribosomal RNA is filed under the name uncultured bacterium. Its description in RNAcentral is "partial 16S ribosomal RNA". It matches the Rfam family "Bacterial small subunit ribosomal RNA", at positions 524 to 776 of the family's 1533-position model. The record is from RNAcentral.
UACAGAGGGUGCAAGCGUUAAUCGGAAUUACUGGGCGUAAAGCGCACGUAGGCGGUUUUUUAAGUCAGAUGUGAAAGCCCCGGGCUCAACCUGGGAAUUGCAUUUGAAACUGGGAAACUAGAGUGUGUGAGAGGGGGGUAGAAUUCCAAGUGUAGCGGUGAAAUGCGUAGAUAUGCGGAGGAACACCAAUGGCGAAGGCAAUCCCCUGGGCCUGUACUGACGCUCAGGUGCGAAAGCGUGGGGAGCAAACAGG